GAAACUGCGAAUGGCUCAUUAAAUCAGUUAUCAGUUUAUUUGAUAGUACCUUACCACUUGGAUAACCGUGGUAAUUCUAGAGCUAAUACAUGCUAAAAACCUCGACUUCGGAAGGGGUGUGUUUAUUAGAUAAAAAACCAAUGCCCUUCGGGGCUCUUUGGUGAUUCAUGAUAACCUAACGGAUCGCAUGGCCUUGCGCUGGCGACGGUUCAUUCAAAUUUCUGCCCUAUCAACUUUCAAUGGUAAGGUAUUGGCUUACCAUGGUUUCAACGGGUAACGGGGAAUUAGGGUUCGAUUCCGGAGAGGGAGCCUGAGAAACGGCUACCACAUCCAAGGAAGGCAGCAGGCGCGCAAAUUACCCAAUCCCGACACGGGGAGGUAGUGACAAUAAAUACUGAUACAGGGCUCUUUUGGGUCUUGUAAUUGGAAUGAGUACAAUUUAAACCCCUUAACGAGGAACAAUUGGAGGGCAAGUCUGGUGCCAGCAGCCGCGGUAAUUCCAGCUCCAAUAGCGUAUAUUAAAGUUGUUGCAGUUAAAAAGCUCGUAGUUGAAACUUGGGUCUGGCUAGCGGGUCCGCCUCACCGCGUGCACUUGUCCGGCUGGACCUUUCCUUCUGGAGAACCUCAUGCCCUUCACUGGGUGUGUUGGGGAACCAAGACUUUUACUUUGAAAAAAUUAGAGUGUUCAAAGCAGCCUUUGCUCGAAUACUUAGCAUGGAAUAAUAAAUAGGACGUGCGGUCCUAUUUUGUUGGUUUCUACGAUCGCCGUAAUGAUAAUAGGGAUAGUCGGGGGCAUCAGUAUUCAAUUGUCAGAGGUGAAAUUCUUGGAUUUAUUGAAGACUAACUACUGCGAAAGCAUUUGCCAAGGAUGUUUUCAUUAAUCAGUGAACGAAGUCGGGGGAUCGAAGACGAUCAGAUACCGUCGUAGUCUCAACCGUAAACUAUGCCGACUAGGGAUCGGGCGAUGUUUCUAUCUUGACUCGCUCGGCACCUUACGA
This 998-nucleotide ribosomal RNA is filed under the name Byssosphaeria taiwanense. Its description in RNAcentral is "SSU rRNA". It matches the Rfam family "Eukaryotic small subunit ribosomal RNA", at positions 83 to 1093 of the family's 1831-position model. Lineage: Eukaryota; Fungi; Ascomycota; Dothideomycetes; Pleosporales; Melanommataceae. The record is from RNAcentral.